RNAcentral lists this unclassified non-coding RNA (748 nucleotides) under Hevea brasiliensis (rubber tree). The record is from RNAcentral. Lineage: Eukaryota; Viridiplantae; Streptophyta; Magnoliopsida; Malpighiales; Euphorbiaceae.
GAGCCCAUUGGAGAGUCUUGCAUCGUCAGCUGUUCGAACCGCUAACAAGGCAAAAGCAAAACUCAUUGUCGUGUUGACUCGUGGUGGAACCACAGCCAAGUUGGUUGCCAAGUAUAGGCCAGCUGUUCCGAUCCUCUCAGUUGUCGUUCCUGUCUUAACUACCGAUUCUUUUGAUUGGACCUGCAGCGACGAAUCCCCAGCCAGACACAGCCUGAUCCACAGAGGGUUGAUUCCUAUAUUGGCUGAAGGAUCUGCUAAGGCCACUGAUGCUGAAUCCACAGAAGUGAUACUGGAAGCUGCUCUGAAAUCUGCUAUGGGGAAGGGACUGUGCAAACCUGGUGAUGCCAUCGUUGCACUUCACCGGAUCGGAGCUGCCUCUGUUAUCAAGAUAUGCAUUGUGAAAUGAAUAAAAAAAACAAGCAAAUUUCACAUCGGCUCCUUCAUCUAGAAGUUGGUCAGGUGUAUUCUCUAUCCUUUUGCUAUUUAUUAUAUAAGUAUACUUAUUUUUAGUUUCUCACCUAAAGAGGGUUGAACCGGUAAUUUUGAUUUUCUUAGUUAUGAAAGAGGGGUGGGUACUCCCUUGAUUUUUUUUGUUUGGACUGCUUGCUGUGUGACUUUAAAGAAGUAGGGGAAGUAAAGAAUUGAAUCAACUUUCAUAAGCUUUUGUUCUUGAAAUUCCCAAAAUUUUGUGCCCUAAUUUGUGUUUGUAGAACUCAAAAUCCAUUUGUACUCAUGUGACAUCUGAAAG